Molecule: long non-coding RNA, 300 nt
Filed under: Ananas comosus (pineapple)
Lineage: Eukaryota; Viridiplantae; Streptophyta; Magnoliopsida; Poales; Bromeliaceae
Description: long non-coding RNA (ACOM_LNC008304)
Source: RNAcentral
UUAGGUUACUAAAUUUGGGCAAUUAUAUUAAAUUAAUGCGAAACAACCGUUUUGUACUAAUAGCUUAAGUUUUUGAAAAAGAAUAACUGUGGUAUAUAAUUUAACAUAAUAUCAGAUACGGAGAUUAUGAAUUCGCGUCCCAUCUAGUUUUUUGCAUCAUUAAUUUUCUCUCGCUUAAUUCAAAUACACGUCUUAAAUAUAUCAAAACAUUUUGAGUUCGAACGUAAGGUACGGUAUUGAAUAUAAGUAUUAAGAAUGCUAUUUUAUGAUAGCUUAACUUUUGAAGAUAAACGACUGUCU